Molecule: long non-coding RNA, 1254 nt
Organism: Hippocampus zosterae (dwarf seahorse)
Lineage: Eukaryota; Metazoa; Chordata; Actinopteri; Syngnathiformes; Syngnathidae
Exons: 2
Source: RefSeq, a predicted model, not a curated record
UAUCGUUUCCUGCCUCGCCUCGCCCACGUCAUGGCCCCGCUAUACGAUGCGCUCAGCGGCAACCCAAAACACCUGAAAUGAACCCCCGCCCAGAGCAAAUCCUUCGACGCCACGAAAGCUGCCCUUGCCAAAGCCGCCCUUGCCAAAGCCGCCCUUGCCAAAGCCGCGACAUUGACAUUACCGAAGCCGGCGGCUCCGCUUCAACUGACUACCGAUGCAAGUUGCCUGGGCUAAAAACGCCUUAUUAUACUAUGUCGUUUUUUUCGGGCUAACACGCCAUACUAUAAUAAGGUGUUUUUUUCGGGCUAAAAAAGCCUUACUAUACAUGGUCGUUUUUCUCGGGCUAAAAACGCCUUACUAUACUGUCGUUUUUUUCGGGCUAAAACGGCAUACUAUAGUAAGGCGUUUUUUUUCGGGCCAAAAAAGCCUUACUAUACAUGGUCGUUUUUUUCAAGCUAAAAAAGCCGUACUAUACAUGGUCGUUUUUCUCGGGCUAAAAACGCCUUACGAUACUAUGUUGUUUUUUUCGGGCUAAAAAAGCCUUACUAUACAUGGUGUUUUUUUCGGGCUAAAAACGCCUUACUAUACAUGGUCGUUUUUUUCGGGCUAAAAAAGCCUUACUAUACAUGGUCGUUUUUCUCGGGCUAAAAACGCCUUACUAUACUGUCGUUUUUUUCGGGCUAAAACGGCAUACUAUAGUAAGGCGUUUUUUUCGGGCCAAAAAAGCCUGACGAUACAUGGUCGUUUUUUUCGGGCUAAAAACGCCUUACUAUACAUGGUCGUUUUUCUCGGGCUAAAAACGCCUUACUAUACUGCCGUUUUUUUCGGGCUAAAACGGCAUACUAUAGUAAGGCGUUUUUUUCGGGCCAAAAAAGCCUGACGAUACAUGGUCGUUUUUUUCGGGCUAAAAAAGCCUUACUAUACAUGGUCGUUUUUCUCGGGCUAAAAACGCCUUACUAUACUGUCGUUUUUUUCGGGCUAAAACGGCAUACUAUAGUAAGGCGUUUUUUUCGGGCCAAAAAAGCCUGACGAUACAUGGUCGUUUUUUUCGGGCUAAAAACGCCUUACUAUACAUGGUCGUUUUUCUCGGGCUAAAAACGCCUUACUAUACUGCCGUUUUUUUCGGGCUAAAACGGCAUACUAUAGUAAGGCGUUUUUUUCGGGCCAAAAAAGCCUGACGAUACAUGGUCGUUUUUUUCGGGCUAAAAACGCCUUACUAUACAUGGUCGUUUUUCUCGGGCUAAAAACGCCUUA